GACGAGCGUGAGUCGAUGGCUGGUGCUGGCUAUCUCCCAGGCAUUGUUCUAAGCACUUUUUAUACAUCUUCACUCCUCACGACAGACCCGCACUGGAGGAGAGAGACAAGGCCAGAUAUUUGUUGCACAAAGUGAUAGGAGAAGCCCCCGGGGUAGUGCAAAUACAGGAGGGGCCCUUCCCCAAACUGGGGUGUUGGUGUGCGCAAGGGGGUGUUCUUGUCAGGAGAGAGUUCGCAAAGGAGGAGAUGACUUAGUCGGACAGUCGGAUUUCUCCAGGUAGACCUGGUGUGAAAAGAUGUUCCGGACAGGGUAAGAUGAGAUAAGAGAAUGAAAGUAUUUCUGUAAGGUUCCAUGAAUUAGGCUGGGGCAAGAUCACGCAGGUCCUGUGUUUAGCUUGUGUGUGUGUGUGUGUGUGUGUGUGUGUGUGUGUGUGUGUGUUUAAGCAAUGUUGGGGGAAUCGCUAAAGAGCUCUAAGAAUGGUGAAAAAGUCAAGCUUUUAAGAGAUCCAUGCGGCUACAGCGCAGAUACUGGUGGAGGACAGAUCGCGAUAGGAGAGGACAGGAUGAACACACUCUCUAGACUUGGGGUCUCAUGCUUCUCCCUACCGGCCUUUUCCAACCCCGGCCUCGCACCGCCCUGGGACGUCACCCCCGGGUAGCCGGGUCGGUUGCUCUCCGUCGCCCCCUGGCGGCCCAUGGGCGAACCUGCCCUGGUGCCUUCUCCGGCCGGCCUGUGCCGCAAUGAGUUGUUAAGGCAAAGCUGAGACUAGAACAUCUGACAAAUCCGGUUCUGUUGGACCAGCGCCUUGGUGGGAUCUAGGACCUAAUUUUUCCCAAAGUCGUAACACUUGGAAAUGUGACUCUAAUUUCUUGUCUUACUGUGUAAGAGCUGUAUUUUCUCACCUGCUGUCGUCAGAGAGGAGGCCAUAAAACCUUCAUCCCAGAGGGUCCUGCCCUGAGACCCAGAGGCCGGAAGAACUGGAACUGACAGGCCUUGUGGUCGCCCCACUCUGUCUGUCUCCCCUGUGUCACACCCUUGCACAAUCAGAUUCCUCUAUGUUGCCUGCACUUCAUCAAACCUCCGAUAAAGAUGGACAAUUCACCCUGGGUCUCCAUUCUGAACACUCCCAUUACAUUAAACUUUGGCUAAAUAAAUUUGUUAUGCUUUCUCCCCA
Molecule: long non-coding RNA, 1174 nt
Filed under: Heterocephalus glaber (naked mole-rat)
Lineage: Eukaryota; Metazoa; Chordata; Mammalia; Rodentia; Bathyergidae
Description: lncRNA (ENSHGLG00000043775.1)
Source: RNAcentral